UUCCCUACGGGGGGCAGCAGUGAGGAAUAUUGGUCAAUGGGCGGAAGCCUGAACCAGCCAAGUCGCGUGAGGGAAUAAGGCCCUACGGGUCGUAAACCUCCUUUGCCGGGGAGCAAGGGCCGGGACGAGUCCCGGUCCGGAGAGUACCCGGAGAAAAAGCAUCGGCUAACUCCGUGCCAGCAGCCGCGGUAAUACGGAGGAUGCGAGCGUUAUCCGGAUUUACUGGGUGUAAAGGGAGCGUAGACGGCAGUGCAAGUCUGGAGUGAAAGGCGGGGGCUCAACCCCCGGACUGCUCUGGAAACUGU
This 305-nucleotide ribosomal RNA is filed under the name uncultured bacterium. Its description in RNAcentral is "bacterial SSU rRNA". It matches the Rfam family "Bacterial small subunit ribosomal RNA", at positions 335 to 636 of the family's 1533-position model. The record is from RNAcentral.